AUUUACCGACGUACACUCCGGUUCCUCCGCGCCGUCCGCAUCCACCUGGCGACUGCUCGCGACGUUUUGUCAGCC
RNAcentral lists this small RNA (75 nucleotides) under Xanthomonas campestris. RNAcentral's name for it is "sX9 sRNA". It matches the Rfam family "Xanthomonas sRNA sX9". Lineage: Bacteria; Pseudomonadati; Pseudomonadota; Gammaproteobacteria; Lysobacterales; Lysobacteraceae. RNAcentral also lists the same sequence under 3 other names. The record is from RNAcentral.